CUUUCUUGCCCGAUACAAUUUUUUGCUUCAAGAUGGAAAAAAGUAUCCAAACAAAAAACAACAACAUCGUACAAAAAAAACGUACGACAAAAAAAGGGAGGGUGAAGUUUUUAAACAUCUAUAAAAAACACCACCCAGAUGAGAAAAAUGAACAGGAGAUAAGAAGAUCUAGUAGGAUCAAAACGAAAAAAAAAUGUAGAUGUG
This is a long non-coding RNA of Macrosteles quadrilineatus (aster leafhopper), 204 nucleotides long. RefSeq lists it as uncharacterized. The record is from RefSeq and is a predicted model, not a curated record. The transcript is spliced from 3 exons. Lineage: Eukaryota; Metazoa; Arthropoda; Insecta; Hemiptera; Cicadellidae.